AUGCCAAGGCCAACACCGGCCACUUCUUCCAACCGCUGCUCCGCCUCCAUCGAGCUCCAUCCCCUGCUGUCACUGGAUCGCCAAGAUGCAACCCCGACCCCGUCGGCCCCUUCCUCGUACAACGCUCAAGCCUUCAUGCCCGAGGCCUUCGUCAUCUCUCUGUGUUGCGCUGCGUGCGACCCUGUCAGCCACAUGGUCGCCACCUCUGCAGCCUCCUGCUGCUGUUUCGUGCACCUUCGCUGCCGGUUGGCGUUGACGCAAGACCAACGGCUUCAUCGUCGUUCGCCUACAUGCCCGAACCUCGAAGAUCCCGUGGAACGCCAAGUACCACUAUCCAUCUCCGAGGAUUUCUCCAAGUACCGCACCGAAACCGCCAAGUACCACUACGAUUGCGGACGCCAAGACCGGACCAACAAGUACCCCGAUGACCGUCGAGACCGCCAAGUUCCACUAUCGCCGACAUGUACGACUACACCACGGUCACACGUGAACGACUACAUGGAUACGACAAGUUCCUCUCCGAAACUUGUACCUCUACCGACGACCCUGGACAUCUACGAAACGAACGUGUACAACUACCGUCGCCGUGUACAACGACUUCCACUACGCCGUGUACGACUACUUCCCACGACGACCCGCGAACGACUACCUCCACUACGGCCCGUGAACGACUACUUCCUUUACGAAACGCGUUCCGCCCCGAAUGCACGCUUCGAAGGUAUAACCGCCGGGAACGACCGCCGUGGAACGAAUGCUUUGUUGUAUGAGAUGCUUAUGUUUGCACCGUGUCCGAAUUGUCAUUGCAAGUUCCUCCUCGUUUCCAUGCCACAAUCCCGUGGGAACCCGGUAGCCGGGAGCACCCCACCAUCUUGCAUGACUCGCUCCCGCUCACUUCCUUUUGUACCGGUAUCUCCGUGA
Molecule: ribosomal RNA, 918 nt
Filed under: Triticum aestivum (bread wheat)
Lineage: Eukaryota; Viridiplantae; Streptophyta; Magnoliopsida; Poales; Poaceae
Description: partial small subunit ribosomal RNA
Source: RNAcentral